AACGAACGCUGGCGGCGUGGAUAAGACAUGCAAGUCGAGCGGGAACUUUUUUGGUAGCAAUACCGAAAAAGUUCUAGCGGCGAACGGGUGCGUAACACGUGGACAAUCUGCCUUAAAGUGGGGGAUAGCUCGGCGAAAGCCGAAUUAAUACCGCAUGUGAUGAGAGACGACAUCGUCUUGAAAUCAAAGCCGGGGCAACCUGGCGCUUUUUGAGGAGUCCGCGGCCUAUCAGCUGUUGGUGAGGUAACGGCUCACCAAGGCUAUGACGGGUAGCUGGUCUGAGAGGACGACCAGUCACACUGGAACUGAGACACGGUCCAGACACCUACGGGUGGCAGCAGUCGAGAAUUUUUCUCAAUGGGGGCAACCCUGAAGGAGCGACGCCGCGUGGGUGAAG
Molecule: ribosomal RNA, 397 nt
Filed under: uncultured bacterium
Lineage: Bacteria
Description: bacterial SSU rRNA
Rfam family: Bacterial small subunit ribosomal RNA
Source: RNAcentral